This 1378-nucleotide ribosomal RNA is filed under the name metagenome. RNAcentral's name for it is "bacterial LSU rRNA". It matches the Rfam family "Bacterial large subunit ribosomal RNA", at positions 1553 to 2925 of the family's 2925-position model. The record is from RNAcentral.
AUACCGAGGCUGCCGAUCGAGCGAGCUUGCUCGCGAAGUGAUUGAACGAGGUUCCAGGAAAAGCCACUAAGCUUCAGCUACACACGACCGUACCGCAAACCGACACUGGUGCGCGAGAUGAGUAUUCUAAGGCGCUUGAGAGAACUCGGGAGAAGGAACUCGGCAAAUUGACACCGUAACUUCGGAAGAAGGUGUGCCCUAUUAGUGUGAAGUGAACAACGGAGCAUGAAUGGGUUGCAAAAAAUCGGUGGCUGCGACUGUUUAUUAAAAACACAGCACUCUGCAAACACGAAAGUGGACGUAUAGGGUGUGACGCCUGCCCGGUGCUGGAAGAUUAAAUGAUGGGGUGCAAGCUCUUGAUUGAAGUCCCAGUAAACGGCGGCCGUAACUAUAACGGUCCUAAGGUAGCGAAAUUCCUUGUCGGGUAAGUUCCGACCUGCACGAAUGGCGUAACGAUGGCCACACUGUCUCCUCCCGAGACUCAGCGAAGUUGAAAUGUUUGUGAUGAUGCAAUCUCCCCGCGGAAAGACGGAAAGACCCCAUGAACCUUUACUGUAGCUUUGUAUUGGACUUUGAACAGAUCUGUGUAGGAUAGGUGGGAGGCUUUGAAGCAGGGUCGCUAGAUCUUGUGGAGCCAACGUUGAAAUACCACCCUGGUGUGUUUGAGGUUCUAACCUAGGUCCAUUAUCUGGAUCGGGGACAGUGCAUGGUAGGCAGUUUGACUGGGGCGGUCUCCUCCCAAAGCGUAACGGAGGAGUUCGAAGGUACGCUAGUUACGGUCGGACAUCGUGACGAUAGUGCAAUGGCAUAAGCGUGCUUAACUGCGAGACUGACAAGUCGAGCAGAUGCGAAAGCAGGACAUAGUGAUCCGGUGGUUCUGUAUGGAAGGGCCAUCGCUCAACGGAUAAAAGGUACUCUGGGGAUAACAGGCUGAUACCGCCCAAGAGUUCAUAUCGACGGCGGUGUUUGGCACCUCGAUGUCGGCUCAUCUCAUCCUGGGGCUGUAGCCGGUCCCAAGGGUAUGGCUGUUCGCCAUUUAAAGAGGUACGUGAGCUGGGUUUAAAACGUCGUGAGACAGUUUGGUCCCUAUCUUCCGUGGGCGCUGCAGAUUUGAGAAAGCCUGCUCCUAGUACGAGAGGACCGGAGUGGACGCACCUCUGGUGUAUCGGUUGUCACGCCAGUGGCAUUGCCGAGUAGCUAUGUGCGGAAGAGAUAACCGCUGAAAGCAUCUAAGCGGGAAACUCGUUCCAAGAUGAGAUCUGCCGGGGCCUUGAGCCCCCUAAAGAGUCGUUCAAGACCAGGACGUUGAUAGGUCGGGUGUGGAAGCGCAGUAAUGCGUUAAGCUAACCGAUACUAAUUGCUCGUGCGGCUUGACCCG